This 656-nucleotide ribosomal RNA is filed under the name Microbacterium sp. Its description in RNAcentral is "bacterial SSU rRNA". It matches the Rfam family "Bacterial small subunit ribosomal RNA", at positions 73 to 742 of the family's 1533-position model. Lineage: Bacteria; Bacillati; Actinomycetota; Actinomycetes; Micrococcales; Microbacteriaceae. The record is from RNAcentral.
GCCCAGCUUGCUGGGUGGAUUAGUGGCGAACGGGUGAGUAACACGUGAGCAACCUGCCCCUGACUCUGGGAUAAGCGCUGGAAACGGCGUCUAAUACUGGAUAUGUCCCGUCACCGCAUGGUGUGCGGGUGGAAAGAUUUUUCGGUUGGGGAUGGGCUCGCGGCCUAUCAGCUUGUUGGUGAGGUAAUGGCUCACCAAGGCGUCGACGGGUAGCCGGCCUGAGAGGGUGACCGGCCACACUGGGACUGAGACACGGCCCAGACUCCUACGGGAGGCAGCAGUGGGGAAUAUUGCACAAUGGGCGGAAGCCUGAUGCAGCAACGCCGCGUGAGGGAUGACGGCCUUCGGGUUGUAAACCUCUUUUAGCAGGGAAGAAGCGAGAGUGACGGUACCUGCAGAAAAAGCACCGGCUAACUACGUGCCAGCAGCCGCGGUAAUACGUAGGGUGCAAGCGUUAUCCGGAAUUAUUGGGCGUAAAGAGCUCGUAGGCGGUCUGUCGCGUCUGCUGUGAAAUCCCGAGGCUCAACCUCGGGCUUGCAGUGGGUACGGGCAGACUAGAGUGCGGUAGGGGAGAUUGGAAUUCCUGGUGUAGCGGUGGAAUGCGCAGAUAUCAGGAGGAACACCGAUGGCGAAGGCAGAUCUCUGGGCCGUAACUG